UAGAGCACAAGCCGGGAAUGGAAAGCCCGGCGCAAGCAAGGUAGGAGUCGUACCGGCAAAUCCGUACGGCAAUCCGAAGAUGUGAUGCGUACCGAAUUAAGAGUAGGGAAGAGUGUGAGCCAUGCGUCAAGAAAAGCCGCUAUUGUUUGUAUCGCGCCCGUACCGUAAACCGACACAGGUGGAUGAGGAGAGAAUCCUAAGGCCGACGGGAGAAGCAUUGUUAAGGAACUCGGCAAAAUGACUCCGUAACUUCGGGAGAAGGAGUGCCACUGAGAGGUGGCCGCAGAGAAUUGGCCCAAGCAACUGUUUAGCAAAAACACAGGUCUAUGCAAAACCGAAAGGUGAAGUAUAUGGGCUGACGCCUGCCCGGUGCUGGAAGGUUAAGGGGAGAGGUUAGCGCAAGCGAAGCUUUGAACUUAAGCCCCAGUAAACGGCGGCCGUAACAAUAACGGUCCUAAGGUAGCGAAAUUCCUUGUCGGGUAAGUUCCGACCCGCACGAAAGGCGUAAUGAUUUGGGCACUGUCUCAACAAUGCACCCGGUGAAAUUGAAAUACCAGUGAAGAUGCUGGUUACCUGCGCCAGGACGGAAAGACCCCAUGGAGCUUUACUCCAGCUUGAUACUGGGAUUCGGUAUUGCAUGUACAGGAUAGGUGGGAGGCUAAGAAGCGGUAACGCAGUUGCCGUGGAGCUGCUGUUGGGAUACCACCCUUGCAGUACUGGGUUUCUAACCAGCGGCCUUAAACAGGUCGGGGGACAAUGUCAGGUGGGGAGUUUGACUGGGGCGGUCGCCUCCGAAAGGGUAUCGGAGGCGCUCAAAGGUUCCCUCAGAAUGGUCGGAAACCAUUCGAAGAGUGCAAAGGCAGAAGGGAGCUUGACUGCGACACCGACGGGUGGAGCAGGUACGAAAGUAGGACUUAGUGAUCCGGUGGUAUAAAGUGGGAUUGCCAUCGCUCAACGGAUAAAAGCUACCCUGGGAUAACAGGCUUAUCACUCCCAAGAGUUCACAUCGACGGAGUGGUUUGGCACCUCGGUGUCGGCUCAUCGCAUCCUGGGGCUGAAGUAGGUCCCAAGGGUUGGGCUGUUCGCCCAUUAAAGCGGUACGCGAGCUGGGUUCAGAACGUCGUGAGACAGUUCGGUCCCUAUCCGGCGUGGGCGUAGGAUAUUUGAGAGGAGCUGUCCUUAGUACGAGAGGACCGGGAUGGACUGGCCGCUGGUUGAUCUGUUGUUCCGCCAGGAGCAUAGCAGAGUAGCCAAGCCGGGACGGGAUAAACGCUGAAGGCAUCUAAGCGUGAAGCCCCCCUCAAGAUGAGAUAUCCCAACGAAAGUUGUAAGACCCCUUGAAGACGACGAGGUAGAUAGGACAGAGGUGGAAGUGUGGUAACACAUGGAGCUGACUGUUACUAAUAGGUCGAGGGCAUAACC
Molecule: ribosomal RNA, 1422 nt
Filed under: metagenome
Description: bacterial LSU rRNA
Rfam family: Bacterial large subunit ribosomal RNA
Source: RNAcentral